AUUGAACGCUGGCGGCAUGCCUUACACAUGCAAGUCGAACGGUAACGCGGGGCAACCUGGCGACGAGUGGCGAACGGGUGAGUAAUGCAUCGGAACGUGCCCAGUCGUGGGGGAUAGCCCGGCGAAAGCCGGAUUAAUACCGCAUACGAUCUACGGGUGAAAGGGGGGGAUCGCAAGACCUCUCGCUAUUGGAGCGGCCGAUGUCAGAUUAGCUAGUUGGUGGGGUAAAAGCCUACCAAGGCGACGAUCUGUAGCUGGUCUGAGAGGACGACCAGCCACACGGGGACUGAGACAGGGCCCAGGCUCCUGCGGGGGGCAGCGGGGGGGAAAUUUGGACAAUGGGCGAAAGACUGAUCCAGCCAUGCCGGGGGCGGGAAAAAGGCCUUCGGGUUGUAAACCGCUUUUGUCAGGGAAGAAAUCUUCUGAGUUAAUACCUCGGGAGAAUGACGGUACCUGAAGAAUAAGCACCGGCUAACUACGUGCCAGCCGCCGCCGUAA
RNAcentral lists this ribosomal RNA (498 nucleotides) under uncultured bacterium. Its description in RNAcentral is "partial 16S ribosomal RNA". It matches the Rfam family "Bacterial small subunit ribosomal RNA", at positions 29 to 523 of the family's 1533-position model. The record is from RNAcentral.